CCACCUUGGGAGCCCCGGGCUACUCUCUCACAGCCCUUGUUGCCCUGUGAUCUGUAGGUCUUGGGGACGCAUAGUUAAGGUGCCAGGACAUCCUGGAAGCUGGGAAAUGAUUUCUUCCAGACCAUGGCUGGAGAAGGAAAGAAGGUGUGUUUUGCCUGAUUCAGGGACUAUAGAGAGAACCAAGUUCUGCAGGCCUGUCACCUAAGUCUCAGCUGGGUGUCACAAACUCUGAACUGGAUUCCAAGGCUUUCAUGAAUGCACUUAUGUUUGCUGUGGCAGCUGCAUUAUGUCGUGGGGGAUGUGGAUGCAGAACCUCACAUUCUGUCGUCUUGCUUAUGUUACUCUCCUUUAUGUUUCACUUUCUCAAAUGAAUGUCAAGCAGGUGAUUUUCAGAUUCAAAAGUUCUAAAAUAAAUUGCUCAAAUUUACACAUUAUGUAAGCUGUUAAUAAAAUUUCUUGUAGGUGCUACAUAUUUAUUAAAAUUUUUGGUUGUAAUUUUAAGCUCACUGUAGGCAGAAAGGAAUCAUUAAGAUUUCUAUUCUUUUUUAGUCUGUAUCUAAAUGACCGUAUAUUUUAAUUCCAAGUAUUUACUUUAUACUUCAGUAAUGCUCAUUGUAUUUUGCAAAAUUUAUAUUGUUCUUUUAUUUGAAAAUAUAAGGCUUUUUUUUAGCUCCUGAAAGCUAUAUUAUAGUCAUAUAGUUUUAUUAUAGUAUUUGAUAAGAAGAGCAGCAACAUAUUGAGAACAGAAUAAAAUUCUGCUGUCUUUU
RNAcentral lists this long non-coding RNA (767 nucleotides) under Pan troglodytes (chimpanzee). RNAcentral's name for it is "lincRNA". Lineage: Eukaryota; Metazoa; Chordata; Mammalia; Primates; Hominidae. The record is from RNAcentral.